AGAUGACCCUGUAUCAAAUGGCUAGCUACUUGAUUUAUUGUAACGCCCUCAAUAGUCCUAAAUCGGAUGGAAUACUGAUUUCGAUCAGUUUAUAUGAGGCCUAUGCGCUAGUAAUAAUAACUGGGCUUAAGCAUAUUGGGUCGAUGGUUUGGGCCCAACGAGUUAUUAUUGUUAGCGGGUCGGGUCGUUGCAAUUGGUAUCAAAACUAGGUUACCAGCCAGAAGUGUGAGAACUAAGCGCUAUGCAGGACAAAGUGCUACACCAACGGAUUUGGUGGGAGCCACAUUUUGAACCGUAGGAGCCACCUCUAAAAUCUCACAUCGCCUAGUUCUGGUCCUAGUCUGUCUGUGAUCUGGUUUGGACCCGACGAGGAUGUCAGGGUCUAAAUAGGGGAAGUUUGUAACGCCCCCAAUAGUCCCAUAUCGGAUGGGAUACUGAUCUCGAUCAGUUUAUAUGAGGCCUGCGCGCUAAUAAUAAUAAUUGGGCUUAAGCAUUUUGGGUCGGUGGUUUGGGCCCAACGAUUUUGGGUCGGUGGUUUGGGUCCAACGAGUUAUUGUUGCUAGCGGGUCGGGUCGUUGCAAUUGAGGAUGCACCACAUCGGAUGGGAUACUGAUUUCGAUCAGUUUAUAUGAGGCCUAUGCGCUAGUAAUAAUAAUUGGGCUUAAGCAUUUUGGGUCGGUGGUUGCUAGCGGGUCGGGUCGUUACAAUUGAGGAUGCGAUCAUACCGGCACUAAAUUUUGUUUGCAUUACAUAAU
Molecule: long non-coding RNA, 755 nt
Filed under: Ananas comosus (pineapple)
Lineage: Eukaryota; Viridiplantae; Streptophyta; Magnoliopsida; Poales; Bromeliaceae
Description: long non-coding RNA (ACOM_LNC038569)
Source: RNAcentral